GGGGAAAACCCUUUUGGGGAAUCGGGCUCGACUCUCCCACCCUUUGUGAACGUACCUCUGUUGCUUUGGCGGCUUCGGCCGCCAAAGGACCUUCAAACUCCAGUCAGUAAACGCAGACGUCUGAUAAACAAGUUAAUAAACUAAAACUUUCAACAACGGAUCUCUUGGUUCUGGCAUCGAUGAAGAACGCAGCGAAAUGCGAUAAGUAAUGUGAAUUGCAGAAUUCAGUGAAUCAUCGAAUCUUUGAACGCACAUUGCGCCCCUUGGUAUUCCGGGGGGCAUGCCUGUUCGAGCGUCAUUACAACCCUCAAGCUCUGCUUGGAAUUGGGCACCGUCCUCACUGCGGACGCGCCUCAAAGACCUCGGCGGUGGCUGUUCAGCCCUCAAGCGUAGUAGAAUACACCUCGCUUUGGAGCGGUUGGCGUCGCCCGCCGGACGAACCUUCUGAACUUUUCUCAAGGUUGACCUCGGAUCAGGUAGGGAUACCCGCUGAACUUAAGCAUAUCAAAGGCGGGAGGGAAAUCAUUACCGAGUUUUCGAGCUUCGGCUCGACUCUCCCACCCUUUGUGAACGUACCUCUGUUGCUUUGGCGGCUUCGGCCGCCAAAGGACCUUCAAACUCCAGUCAGUAAACGCAGACUCUGAUAAACAAGUUAAUAAACUAAAACUUUCACAACGGAUCUCUUGGUUCUGGCAUCGAUGAAGAACGCAGCGAAUGCGAUAAGUAAUGUGAAUUGCAGAAUUAGUGAAUCAUCGAAUCUUUGAACGCACAUUGCGCCCUUGGUUAUUCGGGGGGGCAUGCUGUUUCGAGCGUCAUUACAACCUCAGCUCUGCUGGAAUUGGGACCCUCUCACUGGCGGCGCGCCUCAGACCUCCGGCGGUGGCUGUUCACCUCCAGCGUGAUGAGAAUACCACUCGCUUGGACGUUGAGUGCGCCCGGAGAACUUCUGAACUUUCUCAGGUGGACUCGUGACUG
Molecule: ribosomal RNA, 975 nt
Filed under: Lasiodiplodia theobromae
Lineage: Eukaryota; Fungi; Ascomycota; Dothideomycetes; Botryosphaeriales; Botryosphaeriaceae
Description: eukaryotic LSU rRNA
Rfam family: 5.8S ribosomal RNA (bases 145-298)
Source: RNAcentral